AUGGACUGGACCUGGAGGAUCCUCCUCUUGGUGGCAGCAGCUACAGGCGCCCACUCCGAGGUCCAGCUGGUGCAGUCUGGGGCUGAGGCUGUCUCUUAUACACAUCUAGAUGUGUAUAAGAGACAGGUGAAAAUCUCCUGCAAGGCUUCUGGAUACACCUUCACCGACUACUACCUGCACUGGGUGCGACAGGCCCCUGGAAAAGGGCUUUAGUGGAUGGGACGCAUUGAUCCUGAAGAUGGUGAAGCAGACUACGCACAGAAGUUCCAGGGCAGAGUCACCAUCACCGCGGACACGUCUACAGACACAGCCUACAUGGAGCUGAGCAGCCUGAGAUCUGAGGACACGGCCGUGUAUUACUGUGCGAGAGACACAGUGUGAAAACCACAUCCUGAGAGUGUCAGAAACCCUGAGGGAGGAGGCAGCUGUGCUGGGGCUGAGAAGUUGAUGGCAUUUAUGAGGUUUAAACAUGUUUAGAAAAUGGGUUAAGUAAUUGAGUGAAACAAGCAAUGGAAAGAUGUAUACACUGUCAUUAUAUAGGAAAUAGUAUUUUCAACUGUCACCUUAUAAGUAACACUCACAGAGUGGGAAAGGCAGCCAUCAAUCAAGCCGAUGCAAACAUUCCCAUGGAGGCUUUGUGGGGACAUACAUUUUAAAACCGGAUGGGUAAACCAUUAGGAACAGGAUUGCUUGAUCACAUGGUAAGACUAAAUAUAAUUUCCAAGAAG
This is an RNA transcript of Mandrillus leucophaeus (drill), 728 nucleotides long. It is a transcript of the gene named Ig heavy chain V-I region V35-like, with no coding region annotated. The record is from RefSeq and is a predicted model, not a curated record. The transcript has 2 exons. Lineage: Eukaryota; Metazoa; Chordata; Mammalia; Primates; Cercopithecidae.